UGCCAGGCAAUACUCAGUGAAAGGACUGCCUUAUCAGACGACGGUCUUCAGUCAGUGAGUGUCACGACACAGGGCGAAAGAACAAGUCAUGGUGGCGCUGCACUGAUUCAGCACUGCAUUGGGUGAUUAUAAAAGGGAGACGGAGUGUUCAUAUCUUCAAAGUCAACACCACGUGACACAACUCGGAAAGUAUAACUGACUGUUGUCUUCUUGUCCACGAUUCACGCCAAUGCCCUCCCUUCUCUCCAACUGUACACCAUAAGUUCCUGCCAAUAUCCUACAGUCAACCCCACAUCAUUCUACAGUCCUACAUUCAACUACGGAGAGCCGCUGACGCUAUUCGAUACGGGCGUUGAGAACCACUCCGCCGCCAGGCUUUAGCACUCAACGCAGGAUGGAGACAGAGCAGCUGUAGCCUUUAUGUUCUUCCAUCUCGCUAUUUUAUUUCCCUAUAUCUGUCUUAUUCCUCAUUUACCAUGUUCAUAAAAAAGUAUGUUGUAAUUAUUUUGAACGUAGUAUUAGCAGUAGUGUUUCUAAUGGUGGUGCCACUGGAUGUAGUAGAAGUAGUAAGUAAGAGGAGAAGCAGGAGGU
Scylla paramamosain (green mud crab) is the source of this 591-nucleotide long non-coding RNA. RefSeq lists it as uncharacterized. NCBI's taxonomy places the organism in Eukaryota, Metazoa, Arthropoda, Malacostraca, Decapoda, Portunidae. The record is from RefSeq and is a predicted model, not a curated record. The transcript is spliced from 3 exons.